This 254-nucleotide ribosomal RNA is filed under the name uncultured bacterium. RNAcentral describes it as "partial 16S ribosomal RNA". It matches the Rfam family "Bacterial small subunit ribosomal RNA", at positions 524 to 776 of the family's 1533-position model. The record is from RNAcentral.
UACGAAGGGGGCUAGCGUUGCUCGGAAUCACUGGGCGUAAAGGGUGCGUAGGCGGGUCUUUUAAGUCAGGGGUGAAAUCCUGGAGCUCAACUCCAGAACUGCCUUUGAUACUGAAGAUCUUGAGUCCGGGAGAGGUGAGUGGAACUGCGAGUGUAGAGGUGAAAUUCGUAGAUAUUCGCAAGAACACCAGUGGCGAAGGCGGCUCACUGGCCCGGUACUGACGCUGAGGCGCGAAAGCGUGGGGAGCAAACAGG